GAAUAAUGCCGAAGGCAAGCCAUGGCAUCAUGGCCGGGAGGUGGAUGAUUGUUUUGAUCAGGGAAAGGAUAUUUGUUCAGAUAGCUCGCAGGAUCCUGUCUCUAAGGACAUCCUUGAUAUUCUGCCUGCGGAUCCAUUUGGCAUGGAUAUAAGUACCACCUUUACAGCAAUAACGGGAUGGCUUGAGGACAUGGAAGUGGACUAUGCUGAGUG
This 213-nucleotide unclassified non-coding RNA is filed under the name Hevea brasiliensis (rubber tree). The record is from RNAcentral. Lineage: Eukaryota; Viridiplantae; Streptophyta; Magnoliopsida; Malpighiales; Euphorbiaceae.